This 253-nucleotide ribosomal RNA is filed under the name uncultured bacterium. Its description in RNAcentral is "partial 16S ribosomal RNA". It matches the Rfam family "Bacterial small subunit ribosomal RNA", at positions 524 to 776 of the family's 1533-position model. The record is from RNAcentral.
UACGUAGGGUGCAAGCGUUAAUCGGAAUUACUGGGCGUAAAGCGUGCGCAGGCAGCUUUGUAAGUCAGAUGUGAAAUCCCCGGGCUUAACCUGGGAACUGCGUUUGAAACUACAAGGCUAGAGUGUGACAGAGGGGGGUGGAAUUCCACGUGUAGCAGUGAAAUGCGUAGAGAUGUGGAGGAACACCGAUGGCGAAGGCAGCCCCCUGGGUUAACACUGACGCUCAGGCACGAAAGCGUGGGGAGCAAACAGG